AUAAGCCGUGGGGAGCUGCGAAUGAGCUUUGAUCCAUGGAUCUCCGAAUGGGGCAACCCACCUUAAAUACUUGGAAAAUUUAAGCCGUGCGCGAGCACGGCUUAAGUUUCCAAGUAUUGUUACAAGGUAUCUUAUUCUGAAUACAUAGGGAUAAGAAGCGAACGCAGGGAACUGAAACAUCUAAGUACCUGCAGGAAAGGACAUCAACCGAGACUCCGCAAGUAGUGGCGAGCGAACGCGGACCAGGCCAGUGGCAAUGCGGAAUGAAGUGGAAUGAUCUGGAAAGGUCGGCCGUAGCGGGUGACAGCCCCGUACACGUAGAACACGCAUUGUCCUUGAGUAAGGCGGGACACGUGAAAUCCUGUCUGAACAUGGGGAGACCACUCUCCAAGCCUAAGUACUCGUGCAUGACCGAUAGCGAACAAGUACCGUGAGGGAAAGGUGAAAAGCACCCCGACAAGGGGAGUGAAAUAGAACCUGAAACCGGAUGCCUACAAACAGUCGGAGCCCGCAAGGGUGACGGCGUACCUUUUGUAUAAUGGGUCAACGACUUAGUGUGACAUGCAAGCUUAAGCCGGUAGGUGGAGGCGUAGCGAAAGCGAGUCUGAACAGGGCGCCUUAGUAUGUCGCAUUAGACCCGAAACCGAGUGAUCUAGCCAUGAGCAGGUUGAAGGUUGGGUAACACCAACUGGAGGACCGAACCCGCAUCUGUUGCAAUAGAUUGGGAUGACUUGUGGCUAGGGGUGAAAGGCCAAUCAAACUCGGAAAUAGCUGGUUCUCCGCGAAAUCUAUUUAGGUAGAGCGUCGACCGAAUACCCCCGGGGGUAGAGCACUGGAUGGGCUAUGGGGACUCACCGUCUUACUGAUCCUAACCAAACUCCGAAUACCGGGGAGUACUAGUCGGCAGACACACGGCGGGUGCUAACGUCCGUCGUGAAGAGGGCAACAACCCUGACCUCCAGCUAAGGUCCCCAAGUCAUGGCUAAGUGGGAAAGGAUGUGAGGAUCCCAAAACAACCAGGAUGUUGGCUUAGAAGCAGCCAUCAUUUAAAGAAAGCGUAACAGCUCACUGGUCUAAACAAGGGUCUUUGCGCCGAAAAUGUAACGGGGCUGAAGCCAUGCACCGAAGCUGAGGAUACGUCGCAAGACGUGUGGUAGCGGAGCGUUCCGUAAGCCCGUGAAGGGAUACCCGUGAGGGGUCCUGGAGGUAUCGGAAGUGCGAAUGUUGACAUGAGUAACGAUAAAGAGGGUGAGAGACCCUCUCGCCGAAAGACCAAGGGUUCCUGCUUAAAGUUAAUCUGAGCAGGGUUAGCCGGCCCCUAAGACGAGGCGGACACGCGUAGUCGAUGGGAACCACGUUAAUAUUCGUGGGCCUGGUGGUAGUGACGGAUCGCUUGACUUGUCCGGACUUAUUGGAUUGUCCGGGCUUGGACGCGGUUCCAGGAAAUAGCUCCACCGUAUAGACCGUACCCGAAACCGACACAGGUGGUCAGGUAGAGUAUACCAAGGCGCUUGAGAGAACUAUGUUGAAGGAACUCGGCAAAUUGCACGCGUAACUUCGGAAGAAGCGUGACCCCAUUAUGGGCAACCAUGAUGGGGUGGCACAGACCAGGGGGUAGCGACUGUUUAUCAAAAACACAGGGCUCUGCGAAGUCGCAAGACGACGUAUAGGGUCUGACGCCUGCCCGGUGCUGGAAGGUUAAGAGGAGGGGUGCAAGCUCUGAAUCGAAGCCCCAGUAAACGGCGGCCGUAACUAUAACGGUCCUAAGGUAGCGAAAUUCCUUGUCGGGUAAGUUCCGACCUGCACGAAUGGCGUAACGACUUCCCCGCUGUCUCCAACAUAGACUCAGUGAAAUUGAAUUCCCCGUGAAGAUGCGGGGUUCCUGCGGUCAGACGGAAAGACCCCGUGCACCUUUACUAUAGCUUUACACUGGCAUUCGUGUCGGCAUGUGUAGGAUAGGUGGUAGGCUUUGAAGCGGGGACGCCAGUUCUCGUGGAGCCAUCCUUGAAAUACCACCCUUAUCGUCAUGGAUGUCUAACCGCGGUCCGUCAUCCGGAUCCGGGACAGUGUAUGGUGGGUAGUUUGACUGGGGCGGUCGCCUCCGAAAGAGUAACGGAGGCGCGCGAUGGUGGGCUCAGAGCGGUCGGAAAUCGCUCGUCGAGUGCAAUGGCAUAAGCCCGCCUGACUGCGAGACUGACAAGUCGAGCAGAGACGAAAGUCGGUCAUAGUGAUCCGGUGGUCCCGCGUGGAAGGGCCAUCGCUCAACGGAUAAAAGGUACGCCGGGGAUAACAGGCUGAUGACCCCCAAGAGUCCAUAUCGACGGGGUUGUUUGGCACCUCGAUGUCGGCUCAUCGCAUCCUGGGGCUGGAGCAGGUCCCAAG
This 2382-nucleotide ribosomal RNA is filed under the name Sinorhizobium alkalisoli. Its description in RNAcentral is "Ensifer alkalisoli 23S ribosomal RNA". It matches the Rfam family "Bacterial large subunit ribosomal RNA", at positions 71 to 2569 of the family's 2925-position model. The record is from RNAcentral. Lineage: Bacteria; Pseudomonadati; Pseudomonadota; Alphaproteobacteria; Hyphomicrobiales; Rhizobiaceae.